AACAACAUGUGGUGAUCCCACAUGAAUACAAAAUAUCUUUUAAAAUGUGUGAAGAGACUAAAUUGCUGUACGAGUAGUCUAUAAAAAUUUAUCUCUAAAAUGAUAUGUCUUGACUAUGAGAAAACCUUUUUCGAACUUGCCCUUACAAAUAGCGGGAUGACAGCCUUUUUUUAUUUGAGAACGAGUCUAAGCAUGUAUUUUGUUAAGAGGAGAAGAAGAGUAUACAAAAUAGUGCCAAGGCGCCAACCAGAAUUCUGAAAGAUUGGCAUGAAUAUUAGUGGUGCAUGAACUAAAAAAAAAUUCGGCAAUAAAUGAUAGCCUCCGGAGAUCCAAACUCUACCCCUCAUCUUGAAUUUUUCAAUGUUAAUUUUUCUUAGGUCCAAAUUUGACUGUUCCUCUCCUUCCCUAUCAUCCACGAGAUGAGAAUGACUACGGAGUCAAAAACAUCCGAUAGUUGCUCUUUUUUGAUUGGUUUCUUUGCUGACAGCACCAAUACGAGAACAAGGACAGACUCCGAAUGCAUUCUGAGGGCACACUCUACUUGAUCAAAAAAAAAAAAGCACACAUAUAUGGUGAAGAUUUGCAGCC
This 588-nucleotide long non-coding RNA is filed under the name Setaria viridis. RNAcentral's name for it is "long non-coding RNA (SVIR_LNC006368)". Lineage: Eukaryota; Viridiplantae; Streptophyta; Magnoliopsida; Poales; Poaceae. The record is from RNAcentral.